RNAcentral lists this ribosomal RNA (497 nucleotides) under uncultured bacterium. RNAcentral describes it as "partial 16S ribosomal RNA". It matches the Rfam family "Bacterial small subunit ribosomal RNA", at positions 899 to 1397 of the family's 1533-position model. The record is from RNAcentral.
ACUCAAAUGAAUAGACGGGGGCCCGCACAAGCAGCGGAGCAUGUGGCUUAAUUCGAUGCAACGCGAAGAACCUUACCUAGGCUUGACAUGCAGGGAAAUCUCGUAGAGAUACGGGGUCCGUAAGGGCCUUGCACAGGUGGUGCAUGGCUGUCGUCAGCUCGUGUCGUGAGAUGUUGGGUUAAGUCCCGCAACGAGCGCAACCCUCGUCCUAUGUUGCCAGCGAGUUAUGUCGGGAACUCAUGGGAGACUGCCGGGGUCAACUCGGAGGAAGGUGGGGAUGACGUCAAGUCAUCAUGCCCCUUAUGUCUAGGGCUGCACACAUGCUACAAUGGCCGGUACAAAGGGCUGCGAUACCGCAAGGUGGAGCGAAUCCCAUAAAGCCGGUCUCAGUUCGGAUUGGGGUCUGCAACUCGACCCCAUGAAGUCGGAGUUGCUAGUAAUCGCAGAUCAGCAACGCUGCGGUGAAUACGUUCCCGGGCCUUGUACACACCGCCCGU